AUUUAGAUGGCUUAAGUUUAGAGCGUAGUAUUGAAGAUACUAAAGUAAUUUUUAAAAUUUUUAAAUA
Molecule: transfer RNA, 67 nt
Filed under: Scolytinae sp. BMNH 1040052
Lineage: Eukaryota; Metazoa; Arthropoda; Insecta; Coleoptera; Curculionidae
Description: tRNA-Phe
Rfam family: tRNA
About the family: Transfer RNA (tRNA) molecules are approximately 80 nucleotides in length. Their secondary structure includes four short double-helical elements and three loops (D, anti-codon, and T loops).
Source: RNAcentral